AGGAGAGGGAGUUGAAAUAGGCGAUUGGAAUGGUGAGAAAAGAGAAACCCGGAAAGGGGAAAUAAGUAAAGAAGAAGAGAAGAGGGGGGGAGGUUUCAUGGAGGAAGAAAAUGGGAAGAGUCCACGUGGUGAUCAGUGGUGAAGGGUUCACAUCGUGUACGGUUAGAGAGAAACGCAGGUUCUGGUGAGUGUGCUCUCAAGUUGCAGGUCGAGGCUCCAAUCAGCCACUCCCACCACCUGCAAGUAGCCG
Molecule: unclassified non-coding RNA, 250 nt
Filed under: Hevea brasiliensis (rubber tree)
Lineage: Eukaryota; Viridiplantae; Streptophyta; Magnoliopsida; Malpighiales; Euphorbiaceae
Source: RNAcentral